GCUUUCUUCACAACAGGAGCCUGGGCAGCACUGAAUAGGCUCAAGCUGAGGAGAAAAAGAAUACCAAGAACUUCAGGAUACACUUUCAGACACUUACAACAUUACUGUGCUCCAGACUUGAGAACAAUACAAAUAAAAUAAACAAAAUGAGGAACUUAAGACCAUACACUUUUCCAAUGAACAGCAUACACAAGAAAACACUCAGAUUCUGUGAAAAAAAAAGAAAAGAAAAACCAGUUCCCAUAAUAAGCUGGUAACAAGGGACCAGGAUGGAGACGUUGCACAGUCAGCAUAAGGCACAGCUAGUGCAAGUCCCAGAAGCAACACUCUUUCCAGUGAACAGCAAGUACAGAAGUGUUUACACAGUUGCAGCUUAUUAGUGUGCUUAUGUUUGGUUUCAUAACAACCAAAUAUUGAAAUCUGCUUGGUAUGCUACUGUCUUCAUAGAUGCAACAGACCUCUGCUUUAGUUAUAUAUUAUGGAUACAAUAUUUGUCUUGUUCAAAUAGUUCAGAAGUACUUAGUUUUAAUUCAAAGUGGAUUUUAAAUUCAGCUAUUUGCAAAGGUUUCAAAAUCAGUGAAGAGGACUUCAUGGGCUAUCAUAUGCAUAAACUAAGUAUUCAAUAAAUAUGUUUGGGAGAAAUGUUUCAAUACACCCAUACUACUACUAUGAGCAUUUUUAAAGUAGCUGACCUGCAGAGCUGAGGUUCAUUAAAAUAUCGCAUAACACAGCUCUUCCACAUUUAAUUUCUAUUUAUGAUUCUGAGCCUUUUUUUACUUUACAAUAUUCAUCAGAUGUAACUAUUUGUAUAAUUCAGUUUAUUUUCAUGCCUGUGAUUACUAAAAUUCACAUAUAAAAUAUAUCAUUGAAUUAUCAUGCAUUUGCUCAUGAAAUUAAGGAAAAUUCUGUAGCAAUAAUUAAUAAAUAAUGGAAACUCCCAUCAUCUUCUUACUGCCCAUUGCUAAAAAAAAUCUUCUUGUUACUAAAAUUACACUGCUAACAUUGUCUAAAAUACUAUCCCUGAAAGCAUACCUUUUGUUUUGCUUUCUUUAUAUAUGUUUUCAUGUACAGCACAAUCCCACUGCCAUUGAAAUAAACAUUUUUACCAUUGUCUUCAAGACAGUAACAAGUGACAAGGUACUACUUUAAAUGGAAAUUUGAUUAAAUCUGAUUUUUUUUUUUUUUCCUGAGCCCCAAUUUAUUAUCUCUUGAAGACUGCCACAUCAUUUAGUAACCAGGUUUAAUUAUUACACAUAGAACACUACAGGUAUAAGCAAACCGAGGUUGAUAGUAAAGAAGGUAGAACUAGAACAUAGUUAUAUGUAAAGAUGACACCAGAAUUAUGAAAUAAUUAAAGAUUUCAUCAUUAGAGACAAAUACAAUGGACAAAUUAUGUUAUAAGACUGCAAUGUAAAUUGUUGGGAAAAUAGUGCAGCUCAAAAUUAAGGAGUAUGAGAAGCUGACCGAAAACAUCCUUCUAAUUUCAGUUAUGCAUCAACAAUCUUAUAAUCACUAAGAAUAAGAUGUGGGUUUUCUCUGUACAGGUAGAUCUCACAACUUUUUUCUGUAGGUAAAAUAUAUAAUCUGCUUUGUGAAAACCAUUUCUCAAUAUAGCUUUGAUUUUGAUGGAUGGAAAGAGAGGAAUUUCAUUAGCAUGAAGCAUUUAUCACCAUGGUGAUGUGUGAACAGCCAUAAAGGUGACCUGGUUUGAAAAGAAAAAUUACUAAACAGGAGAAAACGCCUGCCACCCUCAGAACUGUGAUCCUGGGAAGUAAGUCUGGGAACCAGAAGCAUCCUUGAAAAGUAUAUCUAGCCUCUCUGAAGUACAGCUGGGUACCUAGAAACCAGAGGCAUCCUGAGAUGCCACCAGUAAGUGCUAAACCAAAGAACUGUAGUGACAACUUAUCAUCUGAAAAGGUGAAAAAUAGCCUGGGGGGAAAAAAAAAGGAAAAUAGUCUGGGGAAACAAAAUCAAAAAUUGGUCUGAAAGAACAGAAAACAUCAUUACCGCUUGGCUUCUAGACACUUCCCCUACAUCCAACAGAGCCUGUGCCAGCCAGCUCCAACACAGACUUACUGCUGGCCAAGGCCAAGCCCAUUAGCAGCAGUGGUAGUGGCCCUGUGACAAUGUAUUUUAAAAGGGGAAAAAACUGCCAUGCAACAGCAGCAAAUUGGAGGAGUGAGAACAUGUGAGAGAAAGAGCUCUGCAGACACCAAGGUCAAUGAAGAAGGAGGAGAAGAGGUGUUCAAGGUGCUGGAGCAGAGAUUCCCGUGCAGCCUAUGGUGCAGACCGUGGUGAGGCAGACAGUCCCCCUGCAGCCCAUGGAGGUCCAUGAUGGAGCAGAUAUCCACCUGCAGCCUAUGGAGGACCCCAUGCAGAGCAGGUGGGUACCUGAAGGAGGCUGAGACCCCAUGGGAAUCCAUGCCAGUUUUUCUGGCAAGACUAACCUUCUAGGGGACCUGAAGGACUGCGCCCUGUGAAAGGGACCCAUGCCGGAGCUGUUCGUGAAGAGCUGCAAACCAUGGGAAGGACCCAUGCUGGAAAAGUUCGUGGAGGCACCCCACACUGGAGCAGGGCAAGUGCGUGAGAGAAAGGAGCGACAGAGGCAACAUGUGAUGAACUGACCACAGCCCCCGUUCCUCAUCCCAUGAGCGGAGGAGGUGGAGAAAUAGGGAAUGAAGUUGAGCCUGGGAAGAAGAGAGGGAUGGGGAGAAUGUUUAUUAAGAUUUGGGUUUAUUUCUCAUUAUCCUACUCUUAUUUAAUUGGCAAUAAAUUAAAUUAACUUCCCAAGCUGAUUUUUUUGCCGAUCAUGGUGGUUGGCGAGUCGUCUUUCCCUGUCCUUAUCUUGACCCAUGAGCCUUUCAUGGUAUUUUUCUCUCCCUGUCCAGUUGAGUAGGGAAACGAUAGAGUGGCUUGGUGUGCCACCUGGUGUCCAGCCACGAUCAACCCACCACACCUGAACAGGUUAAAUUCUCUACACAAGCUCUCUAUGAGCUCUUGGACUCUCAAUGGGCACACCUGGCUAACUCCAAACUUCCUGAUGUGGAUCGUCUUCAAAGUGAGACUCUUCCUUUUACUUCACUGGUCCCCUUUUGGGCUCACUUCUGGGGUUGCUUCGGUUUGUUGUCCCACCUGUGGCAUGGUUGAGGACCCUUCUGGGAUUGUUUUGUCCUCCCCUUAGGGAUGAUUUGGCUCCUUCUGAGCUCUGUCUCAUUUGUUUUAUAUCAGUAUUAUAUACAAGUAAUCCAUAUUUGCUGUUACGUUGUUAAGUUUGCAAUAACUUGUAAUAGUAUACAACUACUUGGUUGAUGCUGUUACUGGUUUUUGUUAUAUUGUUACUAUGCUCUUGAUUGGUACUGUAUUACUGACUGCUGAUAAUAAUUUUUAAUAUCUCGAUAUGUAUAUAUAUUCACUUCAUUAAUCAUAGGUAUACUGCCAGUGGUGAUGUUUGUGGUAGCUUACUUGCUAGUGUGGUGAUUUUUGUGAUAUUUUAGUAAAUUUUAGUAAAGUACAUUUAGUAAAUUUUAGAGAUUUUAGUAAAGUACAGAAAUUGAAAGGAUAAAGCCUCCAUGCCCUUGUGUUAUCAUGGAAGCCUGUGAACCUAAGGUCACGAUCUCUACACACCUGCAGGCUAAGUAACCCUUCAGGUUUUACAUGGUCGUAUUAACUGAAAAGUAUUCAGCUUUCUUACUUUCAUGUGUUUUAUUCCUUCCAUAUCCUUAUAAGCCUGCCCCUGGACACAGUAAUAUCCUUAGAUAAAUCUUAUAUACAUUGACACAGUUGUCCCCGAAUAGUAAAGAGUAAAGCAUACCCAUAUAACACAGUUUUACAAUGGUGAAACUGCAUCCAUAUUGUGAGACUUAUCCAGGUAACAUUUUUGGGAAAAUGGUGCCUUUACCAACCAUGUUCCAGGUAACUCAAUAAAGCUACCUUCUUUUGUUAGUGAAAAGAUGAGUAAGCCAAGCACUGGAUGGGUAUGUCAGGGACCUGAAGACACCACCUGGCCUCAGGGUCGCUGAUGGGCAUCACUGCUUGUGCCCAGCCCCAUCUCCGUUCCUAUUUCUAGCUGGCUUAUGCCCAACACCAUCAGUAUGUCAUCUCCUGGAUGGGCCCAUCAGGCCUGCACUGCAGCUCAUCUCCAGCCUAUCUCCAUCCACUCUUGGUGGCCAAACUCCACCCUCAGCCUGAAACUCAACAAAACUGUUGGGGAUUGUUGGUGGGCCACCAGCUUUGCCUGCUGUGCUGUCAAGGAGAGCUCAGCUGACCUUGGGAUUGUUGUAGUGCCACACUCCCUGACUUCAAGAAUGCUGCCGGACCACUCCGUGCCCUGACAACAUACUGAAAAUACUACCUUCUAGAAAGGUAUCAUCAGCCUGAUGAACGCUGUUUGUCAUUUUAGAAGCCAUGGCAGAAGAAAGACUAAGUUGGGAAAAUAAGAACAAUAGCUCGGGUGCAUGUUUAGGAUGUCUUGGAUCUCAGAUGGCUGUAAAUGCCUAAGAACAGGCAAAUAAUGCACGACCACAAAGAGGACAGGAUUCAGCUCUACAUUUGCAGAUGCAUAAAUUUGCUGUAAGGGAGCUGCAUGUCCAAGCUCCCUUUCUUGUUAAUGAAAUUCUGCAGCUUAAUAUAGUUACAUCAAUACAGACAGCUAAUAAUAUGUGUUGACUGACUGCAAUCUGAUUGCCUUCCAGUUGCCACUCCAAAACCAUAAUGAUUUCUCUUAGUCUAGUGAAGAUGCUUUGGCUAACCUGUAUGUCUCGCAUGACUCCAAACUCCCAACAUUAAGGCGUCUGAAUGAAUUUCCAAAUCAAUAUUGAGGGCUACAAAAUCCAAUCUGAGAAAUGCACACAUUGUGCAUUAUGUCAUCAACUGAACAGCUUCACAGACAAUACUGAUUGAUUUGUCUAGAAGCUAUAUACUGUCACCACAGCUGUUUUACUACAAUUGUGGAUGUCCUGGAGUAGCUGAGAUAUUAGCAUAGGGAUGUCUAUAUUGGCAUAUGCUUUUCUGGAACAGCAUUUGGAUGUCAUGCAGAAUACCCUAGGAUUUGUUGGAUGGUAUAAGAUCCUGAUAUGCAUGUAACAAUCAAAUUAAGCCUCCUUUGGCUGGAACAGAAGCUCAGGUAUGAUGUUCACAUGUAAACUGUGACAUUUAGUCAUCCGGAUCACAUGCAGUUGGCUCACAUACAAGGUAUUAUUCAAGUUAACAGUACAUAAGGAAUUCACUGCCUAGAAAAUCAAGAUCUUAAAGGUAUCCAAGCAGAUUGUUUGUCAUUUUCAGUGAGUAUGAGAACAUCUGUGUUUCUAUCAUGUAAGCUUUAGUCACUACACACAUUAUUAUUUACUUCAUAAACCUUCAUUUGACUGAAAAGAUUUAGAAGGACACUUUUCCUGGGAGGCAGAAGAUCUCAUAAUAGGCUGCUGAAUUCUUCUUAUAUACUUGUAAGUAUCUGCAGUUGUUUAUUUGGAGAGGCAGAAUACUGAAUUUUUUGAAACACUAGUAUGAUUCAGUAGAUCAGUUGCUAUGUAACAGUUACCUUUUGGUACUUCUUAUUACCUUACCAUAAUCAGUUGUUCACAUUGAUACAUUCAUUGCCAUGCUGUGAUGGAAUCUGACUGGACUUUGUUUCAAGCACUUGGAUUAAAAAGUAAAAUAUGCAUAUAUAUACACAACAGUCAUUUGCUGUGUAAUCUUGGUACAUUCUAGUAGAAAAUAUUUUAUGCAGGUUUGUUUUGGGUUUUUUUUUAUGAUUUCUGCUGUUUCACUUGGCUGUGUUUAAAAAGAAGAAAGGCAGUUAAUGCUUUUGUUUAGUGCAUUGAGAAGUCGUUACUGAGAGUACAUGUGAGAAGAAAAUUCACCCUGCUAUUAACCACCCUGCAUUGAUUUUUCACUGAUACUGUACAGUUAAGUACAGAUUGUUAGAUGAAAUGCCCUAUAAACCUGAAAAAUCUAAAUUAUCUGAUUAAUUUUACAUUCCUUACUCCUAUCCUGUCCUGUCCUCUCCUUACCUCUCCUCUCUUCUCUCCUCUCUCUUUUCCCUGCCAAGAGCCAGAAGAAAUAAAAAUACAAUGAUAGAAGUUUUAGUCAUGUUGGCAACUACUUUCAUAACAGAUAACUAAAACUAAAGGGAGGCAAUGAAACAUUUGAAGGUACUAAAAUGAAUAGAUUUUCAAAUGCAUAACCAUGUUUCCGUGAGUUUUAUACAUAUCUAUUUGGAAAGAGACUCUAUUUUAACAAUAAAAGUACCAAAUCAAGUCUAUGGACAUAAUGUUGUAAAACUAAUGCUUCACAGAUGUCUGUUUAGAUGUAGUACUACCUCAGAUAUUAUACAGUAAAGAAAUUAAUGGUUUCUUCUAAACAGAUCUACAAACAGUCUGGAAUUGGCUAAGCCAAUAAGAAAAGGUCACCUUUUCGAAGAGCAUUGGGAAUUGUGAUGGUGGUGUAUUCUUACUGACUGAGAACACUAUUUAGAAUGCAUAUUGUGUACAUAUUUUGUCAUUGUCAUGAAUGCAUUACAUAUGUAAAAUGCCACAUACUAUGUCAAAUGCAGUUCUAAUUCUCUAGUAACACAAUUAAAACAACUGUAAAACAACUGUAAAACAAGGGUGAUGGCAGCCAUGAAUUAUGUAGAUGGCUGCUGCAUUUAAAGAAGAUUCCUAUUUCU
Long non-coding RNA from Strigops habroptila (Kakapo), 6664 nucleotides. RefSeq lists it as uncharacterized. Lineage: Eukaryota; Metazoa; Chordata; Aves; Psittaciformes; Psittacidae. The record is from RefSeq and is a predicted model, not a curated record. The transcript has 4 exons.